CCUCUUGUUCGGGAUAACUGCUGGAAACGGCAGCUAAUACCGGAUAAGCUCUACCAAUUGUAUGGUGGAGGAAAGGAGGCCUCUUCAUGAAAGCUUCCGCGAGGGGAUGAGUCCGCGUCCCAUUAGCUAGUUGGUGAGGUAACGGCCCACCAAGGCAACGAUGGGUAGCCGGUCUAAGAGGAUGACCGGCCACACUGGAACUGAAACACGGUCCAGACUCCUACGGGAGGCAGCAGUGGGGAAUAUUGCGCAAUGGACGAAAGUCUGACGCAGCGACGCCGCGUGAGGGAUGAAGGUUUUCGGAUCGUAAACCUCUGUCAGGAGGGAAGAAAGCGCAUGGCGCCAAUCAGCCAUGCGUUGACGGUACCUCCAAAGGAAGCGCCGGCUAACUCCGUGCCAGCAGCCGCGGUAAUACGGAGGGCGCGAGCGUUAAUCGGAAUUACUGGGCGUAAAGCGCGCGUAGGCUGUUGUGUAAGUUGGGGGUGAAAUCCCACGGCUCAACCGUGGAACAGCCCUUGAUACUGCGCGACUUGAAUCCGGGAGAGGGUGGCGGAAUUCCAGGUGUAGGAGUGAAAUCCGUAGAUAUCUGGAGGAACAUCAGUGGCGAAGGCGGCCACCUGGACCGGUAUUGACGCUGAGGCGCGAAAGCGUGGGGAGCAAACAGGAUUAGAUACCCUGGUAGUCCACGCUGUAAACGAUGGAUGCUGGAUGUCGGGGAGUAAUCCCCGGUGUCGUAGCCAACGCGAUAAGCAUCCCGCCUGGGGAGUACGGUCGCAAGGCUGAAACUCAAAGAAAUUGACGGGGGCCCGCACA
This 813-nucleotide ribosomal RNA is filed under the name uncultured bacterium. RNAcentral describes it as "bacterial SSU rRNA". It matches the Rfam family "Bacterial small subunit ribosomal RNA", at positions 130 to 927 of the family's 1533-position model. The record is from RNAcentral.